This 211-nucleotide long non-coding RNA is filed under the name Hordeum vulgare. Its description in RNAcentral is "long non-coding RNA (HVUL_LNC004435)". The record is from RNAcentral. Lineage: Eukaryota; Viridiplantae; Streptophyta; Magnoliopsida; Poales; Poaceae.
UUUUUUUUAAAUCGCAAAUCAUGAAUACGGGGGGAUGCGCGAAUUUGGCCGUGUCCAGCCGUUCCACCGUGUCCAGCCGUGUCAGAACGGGGAUUCGGCGAUGCUGGCCGUGUCCGUGCUUUUUAGUUAAUAGGUUAACGAAUUAAGAAAAAAGCAGCAUGGUCGAACAUAUCAGGAUCUUUUUCCACAAAAGGGCCUCGGUCUACCAAGC